GUGGGCCUACGGGAGGCAGCAGUGAGGAAUAUUGGUCAAUGGUCGGGAGACUGAACCAGCCAAGCCGCGUGAGGGAUGAAGGUACAGAGUAUCGUAAACCUCUUUUGUCAGGGAACAAAGGCGGGGACGCGUCCCCGGAUGAGUGUACCUGAAGAAAAAGCAUCGGCUAACUCCGUUCCAGCAGCCGCGGUAAUACGGAGGAUGCGAGCGUUAUCCGGAUUUAUUGGGUUUAAAGGGUGCGCAGGCGGUCUGUUAAGUCAGCGGUAAAAAUUCGGGGCUCAACCCCGUCCGGC
This 293-nucleotide ribosomal RNA is filed under the name uncultured bacterium. RNAcentral's name for it is "partial 16S ribosomal RNA". It matches the Rfam family "Bacterial small subunit ribosomal RNA", at positions 333 to 624 of the family's 1533-position model. The record is from RNAcentral.